UCUUCCAACCCCAGUCUCAUCUUCCCGGCUCUAAUCUACGCCCCCUCAUCUUCCCAGCUAUAAUCUACGCAUCAUCUCUUUCUCUUUCUCUCUCAUUCUCUCUCAUCUACCAACCACUCGGGCUUGUGUCCGUUGCACCAUCUAGCUAAAGGUGCGUUUUCUUCACAACAGAGGAUGAAUUUGAUACAGCGCAAGAUCUAUCUCUACAACGUCACGUUCGGUCUCUACAUGUUGGAUUGGUGGGAGCGCUACCUCUUCAAUAUAUUGAUGAUUGUGUUACUAUGGUUCAUUUUCUACAACGGAUCACGCUCUGCUGCUGAGUUCUAUAGAAGCCAUCUUAAAAUGAAGCUCGGGAUUGGCGGGAACCUGGCAUCCUGAUGGCUGAUGGGAGCACAGAAUGAUGGUAGAGCUUAAUGUAUGCUUAGCCAUCUUAAAAUGAAGCUUGGGAUUGGCGGGAACCUGGCAUCCUGAUGGCUGAUGGGAGCACCAAAUGAUAGUAGAGCUUAAUGACUGAUCAGACCAUUAUUAAUGUAUGCUUGGGUUUUCUUAAUGGCUGUGUAAGGAUAUCUAUUGAAGCUAUAAAAAUACAUGCAUGCUGUUUUUUGCCC
This is an RNA transcript of Magnolia sinica, 608 nucleotides long. RefSeq lists it as uncharacterized. Lineage: Eukaryota; Viridiplantae; Streptophyta; Magnoliopsida; Magnoliales; Magnoliaceae. The transcript has 5 exons. The record is from RefSeq and is a predicted model, not a curated record.